RNAcentral lists this ribosomal RNA (308 nucleotides) under uncultured bacterium. RNAcentral describes it as "partial 16S ribosomal RNA". It matches the Rfam family "Bacterial small subunit ribosomal RNA", at positions 505 to 807 of the family's 1533-position model. The record is from RNAcentral.
GAGACAGCAGUAGCCGCGGGAAUACGGAGGGUGCAAGCGUUAAUCGGAAUUACUGGGCGUAAAGCGCACGCAGGCGGUCUGACAAGUCAGAUGUGAAAUCCCCGGGCUUAACCUGGGAACUGCAUUUGAAACUGUCAGGCUGGAGUCUUGUAGAGGGGGGUGGAAUUCCAGGUGUAGCGGUGAAAUGCGUAGAGAUCUGGAGGAAUACCGGUGGCGAAGGCGGCCCCCUGGACAAAGACUGACGCUCAGGUGCGAAAGCGUGGGGAGCAAACAGGAUUAGAUACCCGAGUAGUCCCUGUCUCUUAUAC